AAUUGCUGAUCUAUUUUUCACUUGGAAUUGCAAGGAUACAGAGAAGAUUAGCAUGGCCCCUGUGCAAGGAUGACAUGCAAAUUCAUGAAGGGUUCCAUACUUCU
Molecule: non-coding RNA, 104 nt
Organism: Canis lupus familiaris (dog)
Lineage: Eukaryota; Metazoa; Chordata; Mammalia; Carnivora; Canidae
Source: Rfam